AUAGAUAAAUUACUGUUAUUAAAAUAUUUAAGCAAAAUUUUUUAUUUCUAGAGUUAUUUAUUUGUCAAAAAAUUCACGCUCUUACUAUUUGGUAGUAGAAGAAAAGUUUUCAUUAAAUUAAUAACUAAAAUAAUAUAUCUGAUGUGAAUAGUUGCGUUGUGGUAUCACUUAUUCUCAACAGCGCAGUUCGAUCAGGGUUCGAGCCCAGUCUCGGGUUAAAGUUGCAUUAUUUUUUAUUUGUAAGAAAAUUAAUAUUCUCAAGCUAACAUUAAUAUCUAAAUUCUAUUUAUCAAUAGCAUUAAUUAAAAUAAAGUUUUUGUCGUUAACAAAUUUUAAGGUAGUUUCUCGGUGAAACUUCUCGACAGAUUUUGUUAAUUUAUUUUUUCACAGUUUACGAAUAACGUUAAUAAGGUUUAUACUUCAAUCAAUAUUUUGUCUUUUAAAAUUUCUUAAUCUAGAAAAUUUUUUUAAACUAAAUAAAUAGAAUUAAGAUAUGUAAUAUUAGCUUGAGAAUAUUAAUUUUCUUGAGAAUAAAAAAUAAUGCUAAUUUUACCCGAGACUGGGCUCGAACCCUGAUCGGACCAAGCUGUUAAGAAUGAGUGAUACCACUUCGCCACUGCUGAUGAUUCAUUGAGGUAGUUCCUCCUUAGAAUUAAGUUAAACUCGACUUAAAAAGGUUCUACUGUAUCACAGCCCGGCAAAAAUUCAAAUCGAAAAGACUAGACAGUCCUUCAGUCCGCCAUUUUGUUUCACUAGUCCGCCAUUUUGUUUUCCAUUAAGAGAUGCGGUAAACGUUGAAAAGGCCAUCAGGAAUUGUGUAGAGCAUGCAUUAGACUCUAGCACCUCUAACCAGCAAGAGAACAAAUUUAAAUGUUUAAUUAUUUAUUAUUAAUAAUAAUAUUUUGUUGCCUCCCUUGUAAAUAACAUAUCCAAGCUGAGAGUAAUCAAGAGGGAGUUUAGCUCUUACAUGGUUGUGUGUAUGAGUAACAAGAAGAAAGAAUACAAGUGUGAAUGUGUGUAAUCUAGAUUUGCUCUACAAAGCUUUUGGAGGUUAUGUAGGCAGAAAGCUCUUUAGUAAGUUGAUAAACUUGUUUUAUUCUUAAUGUCUUUGUUGGACACACUACCCGAGUGCCUUAACUUUAUUAGUUUAUUUCUUUUCGAAAAAUCUUUUUUGUUACUUUCAUUUAGGAUCUAAAAAUUCUCCCUGAGGUUCGCCAUUUUUUAUAAAAGUUUACUAAGAAGAAAGAAAUUAUCCAACGGCUAAAGAAGUUGUAAGAAUUUCAACGCGCUGGAAAGAAGAAAGAGCUAUGAAGAAAUUAUAGUUAAAGAAAAACAAUUAAAAUUUGAUAUUUUAUCCUAAAUAUUGUGUGACAAAUGCCAAAAUAGCGGGAGUCUACCCAUAUAGCAAUCUUUUUCAAGGCUUGUGCAAGUCCGGUCUCAAUUUCGAUAGUUGUUAGUGUCUUUUUCUACCUAUGGGUCUUGCUCCAGAUACUUGUAGCAAAUUCAAUUGACAAGUCGUGAACAAGCCUCGUACAAGAACUUUGGGCCGGAUUAUAGCUCAAGAAUCGUGUAAGAAAAUUGAGAAAACCUGAAGAUGCUUAUCGAUAAACUAACUAUAUCAAUUCUUGAGAAAAACUGACACCAGAAGCAUGCUAAAUAUACUUGUGCAAGACUUGCUCAAGAUCUGCUCAAGAUCAAAUGUUUUCGAAUGACCGUUCUUAUCAUUCUACCCCUCCUAUAUUUACUAUAGGAUCAGUGGAUCUCAUUCAGCUUAACCUUUUAGAGUAUAGACCUACUGUUUUAUCAAUCAAGACAAAAUUAUUUUAAAAUGAGCACCACUGAAUCAAUACAUCUUCAAGUAGUAGAGGGGAAAAAGUGCUAUAAAAUAUAUAAUGCAUGAUGCAUCUUGAGCAAAUCUUGAGCAAGUCACGCUUCAACAUUUGCUGUUAGUUUUUGGUUGACAAAUGCUUUGGAAAUGAACAAAUUACUGAGAAUUACGGAUCUUGAGCAAAUUUUGAGCAAGUCAUGGGUAAGUGUCUGUUGUGAGUUUCUGAUUCAAAAAAAUCCGUCAGAAAGUUUUUCAAUGCUCUUUACAUUUGACUUGUCCCAUAUUCUUACACAAGAUGUCUUGAGCUAGUUAUAUAUAAAUCUUGAAGCAGUUCUACUACAUGAACUUGAGCAAGACCUAUAUGUAGAAAAAGACACUAGCUACUAGGGAUUUUGCUCAAGAUACUUGCACCUAAAUCUUGCUCAAACUUAUUUUACCUCUUAAGAGGUAAAAUCUCAAAUAAAUUAAUCAUAUACUUGAUAUAGCCUUGAAAAAACAAAUUUUUAAAAAUUUAGUUCCUAAAUUUUCUGUGAGAUGGCGUUGCGCACCGGAAAAGGUAAUACGUCACACUCCCGCCAAAAUUCAAAUUCAAAAAAUCCUUUUUUAUUUAAAAAUUAAUAUUUGAGUAAAAUUUUAAUAUUUAUAUUCAAUAUUUAAAUAAAAUUACCCGGCAUUUUAACAUUUGUCUCGCAAUAUUUUACACUGAUAUUAACAACAACAAUAUAUUAUUGAUAAUAAAUAAAGUAUUGCACACUAUGCAUGAAUUAAGGAACGUUGCACUACACUAACUAAAAUGGUGAACUAUAACUGCCUGAUUGUAAGCCAUUAUUGGUAUUUUUAAGCAUGCAAUAUUAAUAACAAUAAUAAUAAUUUGUCUAGACUACGAUUUUUGUUAAAAAUAGUUCUUCCCAUAUCAUUGUAUAUUAUUUAUCGACAAGAGUGAGAAUUAUUCGGGUUAUAAUAAUAAAUACAGAGACGUGUACGCAAGCCUUUUAAAUAAUAAUAAUAAUAAUAAUUAAUAAUGUGACUUUUGAUGUAGCUUUGGACAUGGGACCUACACGUAUUCUAGUAUUAAAGUUUCUAAACAGUUGGGUUAUUAAAUUUACUACCGGUGUCACCGGGUCUUGUUCUUCCAAUAUUAUAUAUUAAAAAUGAAAAAAAAAAAAAAUUAAAAAAUUAAAAGCUUAAAAAAAAUACAACAAAAUAAAUUAUU
Molecule: long non-coding RNA, 3041 nt
Organism: Cotesia glomerata
Lineage: Eukaryota; Metazoa; Arthropoda; Insecta; Hymenoptera; Braconidae
Exons: 2
Source: RefSeq, a predicted model, not a curated record